UAGAGUUUGAUCCUGGCUCAGGAUGAACGCUAGCGACAGGCUUAACACAUGCAAGUCGAGGGGCAGCGGGUAGAUGAGCUUGCUCAUUUAUGCCGGCGACCGGCGCACGGGUGAGUAACACGUAUGCAACCUGCCCGUCUCAGGGGGAUAAUCGUCGGAAACGGCGUCUAAUACCCCGUAUGAAGCCGGACGGCAUCGUCUGGUUUUGAAAGAAUAUCGGAGACGGAUGGGCAUGCGGCGCAUUAGCUGGUUGGCGGGGUAACGGCCCACCAAGGCGACGAUGCGUAGGGGUUCUGAGAGGAAGGUCCCCCACACUGGUACUGAGACACGGACCAGACUCCUACGGGAGGCAGCAGUGAGGAAUAUUGGUCAAUGGGCGAGAGCCUGAACCAGCCAAGUCGCGUGAGGGAGUACUGCCCUAUGGGUUGUAAACCUCUUUUGUCGGGGAGCAAAAGCCGGACGUGUCCGUCUGUGAGAGUACCCGAAGAAAAAGCAUCGGCUAACUCCGUGCCAGCAGCCGCGGUAAUACGGAGGAUGCGAGCGUUAUCCGGAUUUAUUGGGUUUAAAGGGUGCGCAGGCGGAUUUUUAAGUCAGCGGUCAAAUCGUGGGGCUCAACCCCAUCCAGCCGUUGAAACUGGGGAUCUAGAGUGUGCGAGAGGUAUGCGGAAUGCGUGGUGUAGCGGUGAAAUGCAUAGAUAUCACGCAGAACCCCGAUUGCGAAGGCAGCAUACCGGCGCCCUACUGACGCUGAGGCACGAAAGCGUGGGUAUCGAACAGGAUUAGAUACCCUGGUAGUCCACGCAGUAAACGAUGAAUGCUGGUUGUCCGGGUCGAAUGAGAUCUGGGCGGCGAAGCGAAAGCGAUAAGCAUUCCACCUGGGGAGUACGCCGGCAACGGUGA
Molecule: ribosomal RNA, 900 nt
Filed under: uncultured bacterium
Lineage: Bacteria
Description: bacterial SSU rRNA
Rfam family: Bacterial small subunit ribosomal RNA
Source: RNAcentral